Molecule: small nucleolar RNA, 104 nt
Filed under: Capsella rubella
Lineage: Eukaryota; Viridiplantae; Streptophyta; Magnoliopsida; Brassicales; Brassicaceae
Description: Small nucleolar RNA snoR99
Rfam family: Small nucleolar RNA snoR99
Source: Rfam by way of RNAcentral
GUGCUUGAUAGGAUUUAACAAAGUCCCUUAUAUCUUAAUCCAUCUGUCACUUUGUCAGCAGUCUUAAUUUGGUUUCUUGCUGAUCAUUAUAAGAUGGGAAACUC